Molecule: long non-coding RNA, 275 nt
Filed under: Prunus dulcis (almond)
Lineage: Eukaryota; Viridiplantae; Streptophyta; Magnoliopsida; Rosales; Rosaceae
Description: sRNA ncRNA
Source: RNAcentral
AUGCCAUCUAUAUCCUCUACAUAUAUACUUAUCUAUGUUAUAUACGUGUGUGUUCAUGUGUCUGUAAUGUAUAUAUGGAGGGGAGGAGGGGUUUGAGGUUCAGCUUGAAUACAGCAUGAUCACACCAUUUAGUUUUUUUCCUUAUGAUCUGUUUGAAUCGAAGACAUCCCCCCCCUUUUGUUACAGAUACAGAUAGAUUGGCAUGAGCUUAUAUUGCCUCCAAUUCUGAGAAUGCCUGUUUUUGCAUUUUUAAUUUCCAUGUCCACAUUUACUUA